AGCUCCUCGUCGUCGACCUGGUCCUUCUUGUUGAGGAAGACAACAAUCUUGGGGACACCGACCUGCUUGGCGAGCAGGAUGUGCUCCUUGGUCUGCGGCAUGGGCCCGUCGGCGCCGGAGACGACGAGGAUGGCGCCGUCCAUCUGCGCGGCGCCGGUAAUCAUGUUCUUGACGUAGUCGGCGUGGCCGGGGCAGUCGACGUGGGCGUAGUGGCGGGUCUCGGUCUCGUACUCGACGGUGGCGGUG
RNAcentral lists this unclassified non-coding RNA (246 nucleotides) under Hevea brasiliensis (rubber tree). The record is from RNAcentral. Lineage: Eukaryota; Viridiplantae; Streptophyta; Magnoliopsida; Malpighiales; Euphorbiaceae.